This 427-nucleotide ribosomal RNA is filed under the name uncultured bacterium. RNAcentral's name for it is "partial 16S ribosomal RNA". It matches the Rfam family "Bacterial small subunit ribosomal RNA", at positions 355 to 774 of the family's 1533-position model. The record is from RNAcentral.
UGGGGAAUAUUGCACAAUGGGCGCAAGCCUGAUGCAGCCAUGCCGCGUGUAUGAAGAAGGCCUUCGGGUUGUAAAGUACUUUCAGCGAGGAGGAAGGCGGUAAGGUUAAUAACCUUAUCGAUUGACGUUACUCGCAGAAGAAGCACCGGCUAACUCCGUGCCAGCAGCCGCGGUAAUACGGAGGGUGCAAGCGUUAAUCGGAAUUACUGGGCGUAAAGCGCACGCAGGCGGUCUGUCAAGUCGGAUGUGAAAUCCCCGGGCUCAACCUGGGAACUGCAUUCGAAACUGGCAGGCUAGAGUCUUGUAGAGGGGGGUAGAAUUCCAGGUGUAGCGGUGAAAUGCGUAGAGAUCUGGAGGAAUACCGGUGGCGAAGGCGGCCCCCUGGACAAAGACUGACACUGAGGUGCGAAAGCGUGGGGAGCAAACA